GUAGAACGCUGAAGAGAGGAGCUUGCUCCUCUUGGAUGAGUUGCGAACGGGUGAGUAACGCGUAGGUAACCUGCCUGAUAGCGGGGGAUAACUAUUGGAAACGAUAGCUAAUACCGCAUAACAAUUUUUGUUGCAUGACAAGAAUUUGAAAGGUGCAAUUGCACCACUAUCAGAUGGACCUGCGUUGUAUUAGCUAGUUGGUGGGGUAACGGCUCACCAAGGCGACGAUACAUAGCCGACCUGAGAGGGUGAUCGGCCACACUGGGACUGAGACACGGCCCAGACUCCUACGGGAGGCAGCAGUAGGGAAUCUUCGGCAAUGGGGGCAACCCUGACCGAGCAACGCCGCGUGAGUGAAGAAGGUUUUCGGAUCGUAAAGCUCUGUUGUAAGAGAAGAACGGAUGUGAGAGUGGAAAGUUCACAUCGUGACGGUAACUUACCAGAAAGGGACGGCUAACUACGUGCCAGCAGCCGCGGUAAUACGUAGGUCCCGAGCGUUAUCCGGAUUUAUUGGGCGUAAAGCGAGCGCAGGCGGUUAGAUAAGUCUGAAGUUAAAGGCUGUGGCUUAACCAUAGUACGCUUUGGAAACUGUUUGACUUGAGUGCAAGAGGGGAGAGUGGAAUUCCAUGUGUAGCGGUGAAAUGCGUAGAUAUAUGGAGGAACACCUGUGGCGAAAGCGGCUCUCUGGCUUGUAACUGACGCUGAGGCUCGAAAGCGUGGGUAGCGAACAGGAUUAGAUACCCUGGUAGUCCACGCCGUAAACGAUGAGUGCUAGGUGUUAGGCCCUUUCCGGGGCUUAGUGCCGCAGCUAACGCAUUAAGCACUCCGCCUGGGGAGUACGACCGCAAGGUUGAAACUCAAAGGAAUUGACGGGGGCCCGCACAAGCGGUGGAGCAUGUGGUUUAAUUCGAAGCAACGCGAAGAACCUUACCAGGCCUUGACAUCCCGAUGCCCGCUCUA
RNAcentral lists this ribosomal RNA (960 nucleotides) under uncultured Streptococcus sp. Its description in RNAcentral is "bacterial SSU rRNA". It matches the Rfam family "Bacterial small subunit ribosomal RNA", at positions 61 to 1003 of the family's 1533-position model. The record is from RNAcentral. Lineage: Bacteria; Bacillati; Bacillota; Bacilli; Lactobacillales; Streptococcaceae.